This 578-nucleotide long non-coding RNA is filed under the name Gossypium barbadense (sea-island cotton). RNAcentral's name for it is "long non-coding RNA (GBAR_LNC005431)". The record is from RNAcentral. Lineage: Eukaryota; Viridiplantae; Streptophyta; Magnoliopsida; Malvales; Malvaceae.
UGAAUAUUGACAUAAAAAUUUAAACUAAGUAAAUAAAUAAAUAAAUAAAUAAAAAUAAAAAUAAAACUUUACAACUUGGGCCACUUUGACAAUUUGGCCUGAUUUUCAACUAAGUAUGGAUGGAUUUCUUGAUUGGGCUGGGAAUUUACUUAUUGGGCCUCGCCUUCAAGAAUUUGGGCUUUUGUGACUCGUAUCAUUCCCCCCUUCCUCAAAAAGAUUCGUCCUCGAAUCUGAAAAAUCAAAUGAACUCGACUUUCCUCUAUCGAACGGGACUAAUGGCAAUUGAGUCCACUGAGAAGAAUAGCCAUGAGAUAGUAAAUAGCAACGGAAAUAAGCUUGUAGUCCAAUCAUAAGCAUAAUAGAACAGGUAUAACGCAUGUGAAUGGACAGAUUCAGAUUACCAUGCAAACAAUCUAAUUUACUCACCACUGCCUCGUCAAAUAUUUGAAACAAAGAUGGACAUGUUUUAAGGCAUUCAGUCGUCUCACAUUGUUCCCACAAACCAUGAAUAAAUUGCGAGUAAUAAAUCAAAUGGUAAACAUAAUCGUCACAAGUAGGUAUUUGAAAAGAUUCACAUG